AAAACGGCCCUUUUCAGGGCCAAAAAUAUUACCAUGUAAUAGAUG
This is a non-coding RNA of Pediculus humanus corporis (human body louse), 45 nucleotides long. The record is from Rfam. Lineage: Eukaryota; Metazoa; Arthropoda; Insecta; Psocodea; Pediculidae.